RNAcentral lists this ribosomal RNA (731 nucleotides) under uncultured beta proteobacterium. RNAcentral describes it as "bacterial SSU rRNA". It matches the Rfam family "Bacterial small subunit ribosomal RNA", at positions 28 to 754 of the family's 1533-position model. The record is from RNAcentral. Lineage: Bacteria; Pseudomonadati; Pseudomonadota; Betaproteobacteria.
AUUGAACGCUGGCGUAUGCCUUACACAUGCAAGUCGAACGGCAGCACGGACUUCGGUCUGGUGGCGAGUGGCGAACGGGUGAGUAAUAUAUCGGAACAUACCCAGUAGUGGGGGAUAACUAUCCGAAAGGAUAGCUAAUACCGCAUACGAUCUGUGGAUGAAAGCAGGGGAUCUUCGGACCUUGUGCUAUUGGAAUGGCCGAUAUCUGAUUAGCUAGUUGGUAGGGUAAAAGCCUACCAAGGCGACGAUCAGUAGCUGGUCUGAGGGGACGACCAGCCACACUGGAACUGAGACACGGUCCAGACUCCUACGGGAGGCAGCAGUGGGGAAUUUUGGACAAUGGGGGCAACCCUGAUCCAGCAAUGCCGCGUGAGUGAAGAAGGCCCUCGGGUUGUAAAGCUCUUUUGUCAGGGAAGAAACGGAGUUCUCUAAUAUAGGAUUCUAAUGACGGUACCUGAAGAAUAAGCACCGGCUAACUACGUGCCAGCAGCCGCGGUAAUACGUAGGGUGCAAGCGUUAAUCGGAAUUACUGGGCGUAAAGCGUGCGCAGGCGGUUUUGUAAGUCUGAUGUGAAAUCCCCGGGCUCAACCUGGGAACUGCAUUGGAGACUGCAAGGCUAGAGUGUGUCAGAGGGGGGUAGAAUUCCACGUGCAGCAGUGAAAUGCGUAGAGAUGUGGAGGAAUACCGAUGGCGAAGGGCAGCCCCCUGGGAUAACACUGACGCUCAUGCAC